Molecule: ribosomal RNA, 497 nt
Filed under: uncultured bacterium
Lineage: Bacteria
Description: partial 16S ribosomal RNA
Rfam family: Bacterial small subunit ribosomal RNA
Source: RNAcentral
GACGAACGCUGGCGGCGUGCCUAAUACAUGCAAGUUGAGCGCUGAAGGUUGGUACUUGUACCGACUGGAUGAGCAGCGAACGGGUGAGUAACGCGUGGGGAAUCUGCCUUUGAGCGGGGGACAACAUUUGGAAACGAAUGCUAAUACCGCAUAAAAACUUUAAACACAAGUUUUAAGUUUGAAAGAUGCAAUUGCAUCACUCAAAGAUGAUCCCGCGUUGUAUUAGCUAGUUGGUGAGGUAAAGGCUCACCAAGGCGAUGAUACAUAGCCGACCUGAGAGGGUGAUCGGCCACAUUGGGACUGAGACCCGGCCCCAACUCCCACGGGAGGCAGCAGUAGGGGAUCUUCGGCCAUGGACGGAAGUCUGAACGAGCAACGCCGGGGGAGUGAAGGAGGUUUUCGGAUCGUAAAACUCUGUUGGUAGAGAAGAAAGUUGGUGAGAGUGGAAAGCUCAUCAAGUGACGGUAACUACUCAGAAAGGGACGGCUAACUACGUG